AGCUCCAGUAGCGUAUAUUAACGUUGUUGCAGUUAAAAAGCUCGUAGUUGGAUUUCUGGCCUGGUGCGCCUGAUCCGCGGCCCUUUUAGGGGACGUGUGUAUCGGUUCGCGCGCCUGCCAUCCUUCUGGAGAGUACGCCUACCCUUCACUGGGCCGGGUGUACAAUCUGGAUCUUUUACUUUGAAAAAAUUAGAGUGUUUCAAGCAGGCAUUAUGCUGUGAAUACAUUAGCAUGGAAUAAUAAGAUAGGACUUCGGCUCUAUUUUGUUGGUUUCUAGGACUGAAGUAAUGAUUGAUAGGGAUAGUUGGGGGUGCUAGUAUUUAACGGCCAGAGGUGAAAUUCAUGGAUUCGUUAAAGACUAACUAAUGCGAAAGCAUUCACCAAGGAUGUCUUCUUUAAU
This 400-nucleotide ribosomal RNA is filed under the name phytoplankton environmental sample. RNAcentral's name for it is "partial small subunit ribosomal RNA". It matches the Rfam family "Eukaryotic small subunit ribosomal RNA", at positions 587 to 977 of the family's 1831-position model. The record is from RNAcentral.